ACGGAAGGCAGCAGUGGGGAAUAUUGGACAAUGGGGGGAACCCUGAUCCAGCGACGCCGCGUGAGUGAAGAAGUAUUUCGGUAUGUAAAGCUCUAUCAGCAGGGAAGAUGAUGACGGUACCUGACUAAGAAGCACCGGCUAAAUACGUGCCAGCAGCCGCGGUAAUACGUAUGGUGCAAGCGUUAUCCGGAUUUACUGGGUGUAAAGGGAGCGUAGGCGGCUAUGCAAGUCAGGUGUGAAAACCCGGGGCUCAACUCCGGGACUGCACUUGAAACUGCGAAGCUCGAGUACGGGAGAGGCAAGUGGAAUUCCUAGUGUAGCGGUGAAAUGCGUAGAUAUUAGGAGGAACACCAGUGGCGAAGGCGGCUUACUGGACUGACACUGACGCUGAAGCACGAAAACGUGGGGAGCAAACAGGAUUAGAUACCCUGGUA
RNAcentral lists this ribosomal RNA (434 nucleotides) under uncultured bacterium. RNAcentral describes it as "partial 16S ribosomal RNA". It matches the Rfam family "Bacterial small subunit ribosomal RNA", at positions 341 to 792 of the family's 1533-position model. The record is from RNAcentral.